This is a long non-coding RNA of Dermochelys coriacea (leatherback sea turtle), 179 nucleotides long. RefSeq lists it as uncharacterized. The transcript is spliced from 4 exons. The record is from RefSeq and is a predicted model, not a curated record. NCBI's taxonomy places the organism in Eukaryota, Metazoa, Chordata, Testudines, Dermochelyidae.
GUCACAAGUUUACUACAUGGGGGGUUGCAAGCUGUCAGCCUCUACCCCAAAACUCGCUUUGCAUCCAACAUUUAUAAUGAUGUUAAAUAUAUUAAAAAGUGUUUUUAAUGUAUAAGGGUGGGGGGCUCGCACUCAGAGGCUAGCUAUGUAAAUAGUACAUUAAUUUGAGAACCUUGGUU